AGUGAACGCUGGCGGUAGGCCUAACACAUGCAAGUCGAACGGCAGCACAGUAAGAGCUUGCUCUUACGGGUGGCGAGUGGCGGACGGGUGAGGAAUACAUCGGAAUCUACUUUUUCGUGGGGGAUAACGUAGGGAAACUUACGCUAAUACCGCAUACGACCUACGGGUGAAAGCAGGGGAUCUUCGGACCUUGCGCGAUUGAAUGAGCCGAUGUCGGAUUAGCUAGUUGGCGGGGUAAAGGCCCACCAAGGCGACGAUCCGUAGCUGGUCUGAGAGGAUGAUCAGCCACACUGAAACUGAGACACGGUCCAGACUCCUACGGGAGGCAGCAGUGGGGAAUAUUGGACAAUGGGCGCAAGCCUGAUCCAGCCAUACCGCGUGGGUGAAGAAGGCCUUCGGGUUGUAAAGCCCUUUUGUUGGGAAAGAAAAGCAGCAGGUUAAUACCCCGCUGUUCUGACGGUACCCAAAGAAUAAGCACCGGCUAACUUCGUG
Molecule: ribosomal RNA, 492 nt
Filed under: uncultured bacterium
Lineage: Bacteria
Description: partial 16S ribosomal RNA
Rfam family: Bacterial small subunit ribosomal RNA
Source: RNAcentral